RNAcentral lists this transfer RNA (84 nucleotides) under Acidobacteriota bacterium. RNAcentral describes it as "Acidobacteria bacterium tRNA-Leu". It matches the Rfam family "tRNA". From Rfam's summary of the family: Transfer RNA (tRNA) molecules are approximately 80 nucleotides in length. Their secondary structure includes four short double-helical elements and three loops (D, anti-codon, and T loops). Further hydrogen bonds mediate the characteristic L-shaped molecular structure. tRNAs have two regions of fundamental functional importance: the anti-codon, which is responsible for specific mRNA codon recognition, and the 3' end, to which the tRNAs corresponding amino acid is attached (by aminoacyl-tRNA synthetases). tRNAs cope with the degeneracy of the genetic code in two manners: having more than one tRNA (with a specific anti-codon) for a particular amino acid; and 'wobble' base-pairing, i.e. permitting non-standard base-pairing at the 3rd anti-codon position. The record is from RNAcentral. RNAcentral also lists the same sequence under 2 other names. Lineage: Bacteria; Pseudomonadati; Acidobacteriota.
GCGGAAGUGGCGGAACGGCAGACGCGCACGGCUUAGGACCGUGUGCCGAAAGGCGUGGGGGUUCGAAUCCCCCCUUCCGCACCA